RNAcentral lists this ribosomal RNA (437 nucleotides) under uncultured bacterium. Its description in RNAcentral is "partial 16S ribosomal RNA". It matches the Rfam family "Bacterial small subunit ribosomal RNA", at positions 28 to 507 of the family's 1533-position model. The record is from RNAcentral.
GAUGAACGCUGGCGGCAUGCCUAACACAUGCAAGUCGGACGGGCAGUUGUGUUUCUUGCGGCGCUCGGGUGAGUAACGGGCAAGAACGUGCCACGGGGAUGGGCACCCUAUCAGGAAGCGGUUACUACUAGACCCCGGGCCUAGUAGCAAAAGGUGUAAUGCACCCGAGGGGGGACUUGUGUCUGAUUAGCUAGCUGGUGAUGCAAUAGCUUACCAAGGCGAUGGUCAGAAGUUGGUACGAGAGGAUGAUCCGCCACACUGGGACUGAGCCACGGCACAGACUCCUACGGGAGGCAGCAGUGGGGAAUUUUCCGCAAUGGGCGAAAGCCUGACGGAGCAAUGCCGCGGGGAGGUAGAAGGCCCAGGGGUCGUGAACUGCUUUUCCCGGAGAAGAAGCAAUGACGGUAUCUGGGGAAUAAGCAUCGGCUAACUCUGUG